UGGGGAAUAUUGGGCAAUGGGCGCAAGCCUGACCCAGCGACGCCGCGUGAGGGAUGAAGGCCUUCGGGUUGUAAACCUCUUCCAGUAGGGAAGAAGCGAAAGUGACGGUACCUAAAGAAGAAGCACCGGCUAACUAUGUG
RNAcentral lists this ribosomal RNA (140 nucleotides) under uncultured Sporichthya sp. RNAcentral describes it as "partial 16S ribosomal RNA". It matches the Rfam family "Bacterial small subunit ribosomal RNA", at positions 355 to 507 of the family's 1533-position model. The record is from RNAcentral. Lineage: Bacteria; Bacillati; Actinomycetota; Actinomycetes; Sporichthyales; Sporichthyaceae.